RNAcentral lists this unclassified non-coding RNA (240 nucleotides) under soil metagenome. Its description in RNAcentral is "partial contains 5.8S ribosomal RNA, internal transcribed spacer 2, and large subunit ribosomal RNA". The record is from RNAcentral.
AACAUCGCGCACCUGCGGGAACCUGCGGAAGGAUCAUUAACGAGUUUUGAAACGGGUUGUAGCUGGCCUUACACAAGGCAUGUGCACACCCUGCUCAUCCACUCUCAUACCCCUGUGCACUUAUUGUAGGCUUGGUGGGAUAAGCUGGCUUCGGUCGACUUUGAAAGCCUAGUCUAUGUCUAUUACAAACGCUUCAGUUAAAGAAUGUCAUACUGCGUCUAACGCAUUAAAUACAACUUU